GACGAACGCUGGCGGCGUGCUUAACACAUGCAAGUCGAACGGAAAGGCCCUGCUUGCAGGGUACUCGAGUGGCGAACGGGUGAGUAACACGUGGGUGAUCUGCCCUGCACUUCGGGAUAAGCCUGGGAAACUGGGUCUAAUACCGGAUAGGAGCCAUUUUUAGUGUGAUGGUUGGAAAGUUUUUUCGGUGUAGGAUGAGCUCGCGGCCUAUCAGCUUGUUGGUGGGGUAAUGGCCUACCAAGGCGGCGACGGGUAGCCGGCCUGAGAGGGUGGACGGCCACAUUGGGACUGAGAUACGGCCCAGACUCCUACGGGAGGCAGCAGUGGGGAAUAUUGUACAAUGGGCGCAAGCCUGAUGCAGCGACGCCGCGUGGGGGAUGACGGCCUUCGGGUUGUAAACUCCUUUCGCUAGGGACGAAGCUUUUUGUGACGGUACCUAGAGAAGAAGCACCGGCUAACUACGUG
RNAcentral lists this ribosomal RNA (465 nucleotides) under uncultured bacterium. Its description in RNAcentral is "partial 16S ribosomal RNA". It matches the Rfam family "Bacterial small subunit ribosomal RNA", at positions 28 to 507 of the family's 1533-position model. The record is from RNAcentral.